This 206-nucleotide long non-coding RNA is filed under the name Panax ginseng (ginseng). Its description in RNAcentral is "long non-coding RNA (PGIN_LNC008659)". The record is from RNAcentral. Lineage: Eukaryota; Viridiplantae; Streptophyta; Magnoliopsida; Apiales; Araliaceae.
CUUGUUUAGUCAUAAAUUUCUUCCUGCUAGUUCACAAUUAUAUUGUUGAAUUAUAGCCAGCCAAUUAUUCAAAUCAUUUCAAUCAUGAUAUAUCGUUAUAUUGUUGAAUUUAAACUUGUUGGGCAACUUUCAUGCUCACCCUUGCUAUAUCAUGAUAAAACAUUGCAGAUUAAGGCGAAUACGUCAGAUACAAGGAAAGGUCCAAG